GUUCUACUCCUGAGAUACAACAGCCUCUCGCACUGUUCCUUCUGCCUCAAUGAUUUACACGGAUCAAAGAAGCCUUCGAACCCAGAAUCAGUAUGCAGCAAGCCCGUUGAUUGAAAGAAAAACAGCAAACACGAAGAAUAGAAGUUCUCUGUUUUCAAUUUUCUAUCUACUGUCUAAUCCGAAGAGGUCUAUUUAUAGACUUCUUCGGGACAGACGCGACCCAAAAACGAUCCAACGGUUGAAACCGGUAAGAAAGUUUGAAAAAACACUGGGAAUAUGGCCAGCGGAUGCGAGGUUGGUUGCGAAGAGGUGCUAACGAGGAAGCGACGUGGCUCCUCGUGCUAUGGGUGCGAGGCACGGCCAACGCACCUCUUGGCUCAUCGUACCCGUUGUCCGACCUCGGCUCCUCUGGGCUCAUCACACCUGUGGUCCGACCUCGGCCUCGGCUCUUCGCGCUUCAGUUGAGGUGGGUCGGACGAGCACAGGCACACAGAACCUUGGACGAGCAGGGGCAGGGCCCAGCGAGCACAAGCACAUGCGCAAAGAACCUUCGCUCGGACAAGCACAGGCACAGCUCGGCUGCAGAGAACCUCGGCUCGGACAAGCACAGGCACAGAGAACCUCGGCUCGGACAAGCACAGGCCCAACGAGCACAAGAGAACCGAGCUCGGCUCGGACAAGGAGGGAACAUCCCAACGAGCACAAGAGCUCGGACAAGGAGGGAACAUCCCAACGAGCACAAGAAAACCAAGCUUUACG
This 759-nucleotide long non-coding RNA is filed under the name Phoenix dactylifera (date palm). Its description in RNAcentral is "long non-coding RNA (PDAC_LNC003804)". Lineage: Eukaryota; Viridiplantae; Streptophyta; Magnoliopsida; Arecales; Arecaceae. The record is from RNAcentral.